RNAcentral lists this ribosomal RNA (444 nucleotides) under uncultured bacterium. Its description in RNAcentral is "partial 16S ribosomal RNA". It matches the Rfam family "Bacterial small subunit ribosomal RNA", at positions 354 to 796 of the family's 1533-position model. The record is from RNAcentral.
GUAGGGAAUAUUGGGCAAUGGUCGGAAGACUGACCCAGCCAUGCCGCGUGCAGGAAGACGGCCCUCUGGGUUGUAAACUGCUUUUAUCUGGGAAGAAAAAGGCCAUGCGUGGCAAAUUGCCGGUACCAGAUGAAUAAGCACCGGCUAACUCCGUGCCAGCAGCCGCGGUAAUACGGAGGGUGCGAGCGUUGUCCGGAUUUAUUGGGUUUAAAGGGUGCGUAGGCGGCUAGUUAAGUCAGCGGUGAAAGACUUCGGCUUAACCGGAGCAGUGCCGUUGAUACUGGUUGGCUUGAGUGUCGGAGGGGUACAUGGAAUUGAUGGUGUAGCGGUGAAAUGCAUAGAUACCAUCAGGAACACCGAUAGCGAAGGCAUUGUACUGGCCGACAACUGACGCUGAUGCACGAAAGUGUGGGGAUCGAACAGGAUUAGAUACCCGGGUAGUCC